UACGAAGGGGGCGAGCGUUAUUCGGAAUCACUGGGCGUAAAGGGUGCGUAGGCUGUUUUGCAAGUUGGGAGUGAAAUCCCGGGGCUCAACCCCGGAACUGCUUCCAAAACUGCGAGACUCGAAUUCGGGAGAGGAUAGCGGAAUUCCUAGUGUAGUAGUGAAAUACGUAGAUAUUAGGAGGAACACCGGUGGCGAAGGCGGCUAUCUGGACCGACAUUGACGCUGAGGCACGAAAGCGUGGGGAUCAAACAGG
This 253-nucleotide ribosomal RNA is filed under the name uncultured bacterium. RNAcentral describes it as "partial 16S ribosomal RNA". It matches the Rfam family "Bacterial small subunit ribosomal RNA", at positions 524 to 776 of the family's 1533-position model. The record is from RNAcentral.